Long non-coding RNA from Chelonia mydas (Green sea turtle), 486 nucleotides. RefSeq lists it as uncharacterized. The record is from RefSeq and is a predicted model, not a curated record. The transcript is spliced from 4 exons. NCBI's taxonomy places the organism in Eukaryota, Metazoa, Chordata, Testudines, Cheloniidae.
GCUGGCUGAGACCCCCCCUGGGGGUUGGCUGGGUGUGGGGCUGGGAGCCGAGGUGCCGGGCUGGGCCCCUCACCUGCUACAAUGAUCUGCACAGGGUCGCUGGGCUCCGAGUAGCGACUAGGUCCUGUUGUGUUGCUAUAACGACAGGUGUAGCUGCCCCCAUGUUUCCGUCUGGCGCUGGGGAUGAGAAAUUCAGCCUCAGAGCCAGCAGGGUCCGUGUACCUCAGAUAGUUCCCGUCUCCAUCCUUGUAGAGGAGGAACCUCAUGCCCAGGCGCUGAUGCCAACACUGGAUGGUGACGUUUCCCCCCACGGGGAUCACCCCACCGGGGCUGACGGAGAUGGAGGGUUUGGGGAGGGACCCCUCUGGAUUCACAAACAAACAGGCAGUAAGUCGGGGUGACACAAACCGCGUCCGUCUGACACAGCAGGGGGGAAGGAGAUUUCCCGUCUCAGAUUCCUUCAUUUCUCCAGGGUCAAUUCAGCCC